Molecule: ribosomal RNA, 1354 nt
Filed under: uncultured bacterium
Lineage: Bacteria
Description: bacterial SSU rRNA
Rfam family: Bacterial small subunit ribosomal RNA
Source: RNAcentral
GAUGAACGCUAGCGGCAGGCUUAAUACAUGCAACUCGAACAGGAUUGAAAAUCUUGCUUUUAUUGAGAGUGGCACACGGGAGCAUAACACAUAUGCCACCUGCCUUGUCCAGGGGGAUAGCCCGUUGAAAGACGGAUUACCACCGCCUAACAUCAUUGAAUGGCAUCGUUAUCAUGAUCAAAUAUUUAUAGGGACAAAGUGGGCAUGCGAUCUGAUUAGCUAGUUGGCGGAGUAAUGGCCCACCAAAGCAACGAUCAUGAGGGGAUCUGAUAAGAUGACCCCCCACACUGGUACUGAGACACGGACCACACUCCUACGGGAGGCAGCAGUAAAGAAUAUUGGGCAAUGAGCGCAAGCCUGAACCAGCCAUGCCGCGUGCAGAAAGACUGCCCUACGGGUUGUAAACUGCUUUUAUACGGGAAUAACCCCGGUUUCCCGAAACCGGCUGAAUGUACCGUAAGAAUAAGGAUCGGCUAACUCCGUGCCAGCAGCCGCGGUAAUACGGAGGAUCCAAGCGUUAUCCGGAUUUAUUGGGCUUAAAGGGUGCGUAGGCGGCCUGCUAAGUCAGGAGUGAAAGACGGUGGCUCAACCAUCGCACUGCCUUUGAUACUGGCGGGCUUGAAUGUACAUGAGGGUGGCGGAAUGUGACAAGUAGCGGUGAAAUGCAUAGAUAUGUCACAGAACACCGAUUGCGAAGGCAACUUACUGAAGUAUAAUUGACGCUGAGGCACGAAAGCGUGGGGAUCAAACAGGAUUAGAUACCCUGGUAGUCCACGCCCUAAACGAUGAUAACUCGCUGCUAGCGAUAUACAGUUAGCGGCCAAGCGAAAGCGUUAAGUUAUCCACCUGGGGAGUACGCCCGCAAGGGUGAAACUCAAAGGAAUUGACGGGGGCCCGCACAAGCGGAGGAGCAUGUGGUUUAAUUCGAUGAUACGCGAGGAACCUUACCCGGGCUUGAAAGUUACUGAAUAACUCAGAGAUGAGUUAGUCCUUUGGGACAGGAAACUAGGUGCUGCAUGGCUGUCGUCAGCUCGUGCCGUGAGGUGUUGGGUUAAGUCCCGCAACGAGCGCAACCCCUAUGUUUAGUUGCCAGCAUGUAAUGGUGGGGCCUUUAAACAGACUGCCUGUGCAAACAGAGAGGAAGGAGGGGACGACAUCAAGUCAUCAUGGCCCUUACGUCCGGGGCUACACACGUGCUACAAUGGCCGGUACAGAGGGUCGCUAAGUGGCAACACUACGCCAAUCUCAAAAAGCCGGUCACAGUUCGGAUCGGAGUCUGCAACUUGGCCCCGUGAAGUUGGAUUCGCUAGUAAUCGCAGAUCAGCAAUGUCGCGGUGAAUACGUUCCCGGGCCU